GACGAACGCUGGCGGCGUGCCUAAUACAUGCAAGUAGAACGCUGAAGGAGGAGCUUGCUCUUCUGGAUGAGUUGCGAACGGGUGAGUAACGCGUAGGUAACCUGCCUGGUAGCGGGGGAUAACUAUUGGAAACGAUAGCUAAUACCGCAUAAGAGUAGAUGUUGCAUGACAUUUGCUUAAAAGGUGCAAUUGCAUCACUACCAGAUGGACCUGCGUUGUAUUAGCUAGUUGGUGGGGUAACGGCUCACCAAGGCGACGAUACAUAGCCGACCUGAGAGGGUGAUCGGCCACACUGGGACGGGGACACGGCCCAGACUCCUACGGGAGGCAGCAGUAGGGAAUCUUCGGCAAUGGACGGAAGUCUGACCGAGCAACGCCGCGUGAGUGAAGAAGGUUUUCGGAUCGUAAAGCUCUGUUGUAAGAGAAGAACGAGUGUGAGAGUGGAAAGUGCACACUGUGACGGUAGCUGACCAGAAAGGGACGGCUAACUACGUG
RNAcentral lists this ribosomal RNA (495 nucleotides) under uncultured bacterium. RNAcentral's name for it is "partial 16S ribosomal RNA". It matches the Rfam family "Bacterial small subunit ribosomal RNA", at positions 28 to 507 of the family's 1533-position model. The record is from RNAcentral.